This 574-nucleotide long non-coding RNA is filed under the name Chrysemys picta bellii (western painted turtle). RNAcentral's name for it is "lncRNA (ENSCPBG00000027641.1)". Lineage: Eukaryota; Metazoa; Chordata; Testudines; Emydidae. The record is from RNAcentral.
AUGCAGCUGGAGGAGGAGCAGAAACUGCAUCUAGAGCACACGCUGGCCUGGCUGAGGAGAGAACUGUCAGAGAUGCAGCUCCAGGAUCAGCAGCUGCUGGAGAAGCUGUUACAGCUGCACACCAGCAUGCAGGAGCUGAAAGUGGAAUGCGCUUACUGGGAGAGUUCAGAUCCGAGCAGGGAGACGAUCCGCGCCAGAGCUCGGUCCAGUUCAGAAGACAUGGGUGCUCCAGUUCCCACCGGAGGCUCGACUCCAUCCCUGAAAGGAGAGACAAGCAGGAGGAACUCCAUCCCAUAAGGCAGCUCAAGCUAUUUGGGGAACAGAAUUGAUGGGCUGAGCUGGUCACUGCCACGCAGAGAUUCUCUCCAUGAACUGAAUCAAGGGUCUGAAACACUCUCCAUCGAUCGGUGUUACUGCCACGUCAGUAUUGGUGUCUUCAGCCUAGCUGAUCACGAUGGUCCUGGCCCACAGGCCUCCUUCAGUGGACACCAGGGAAUGUUUUCUACUCAAACGCCCUUUCUGGGAAACAUCUCAACAUGCACAAUAAAAGACUGCCCCAGGCGUGCGUGUUUCA